UUAAUGUUUUGACUUUCUUCUUGUAAAAUUACUGCUGAAUGUUCACAUUUUAGCUGUUUUUUUUACGAAGUUGACCAGUAAAGCCUGAAGUGAAUAUUACGUUCAUUAUGAAUUAUGAACGUUCAUUAUUAUAUCCCUCAUAUUUUGAAGAGAACUAUAGUAUAUUAUUCCCAAAACUGUUACUGUAACCGAGCAGGUCCGGCCUUCAAAAUAACAGCACAUCCUGUACGGGGGUACCAAAGUAAGAGCGUCACAUAAAUAGCUUACAUUACUGUAAAUAAAAUCACAUGACUCUGCCAAUAACUAAACCAGAAUAGGUGAACUGACGUUUCGGGGUAUUUAUUAUAUUUCUUAAAUGAUAUUUAAAUGUUCAUUUCAGCUGUUUUGAAUGCCCAACAUCAAUAUGGCGACUACCGGUUGGCAGCAUACACGUCAUAAAGUGCCCGGAUGUUGCACCUUGUCAAUGCUAAUUGCAAAUGCCCACUCGGGCCAUGGCACAAUGAUUGUUAUGCUAAACAUAUUAAACGUUAUAACAUCUUUUUAGGUCACUUCCUCUUGAUUUGGAGGGCGCCUCAUGUCGAGGGCUUACCUAAUCAAUGGACGAGUGAGAAUUUGUUCGGUUAAUCGACAUAAUAAACUCACCAUCGUCGUCAAAGUCCCUGGUCUCGCAGUAAUUGACAGUCUUCGUCUUCCUAGUCUGCGGAUGUGAUUAGGCUGUCACGACGCGAUCGGUUCUGCGCAUGUCCAGAAAGUGGGACCAAUAUGAGGCAAGCCCAGUUGUACCACGCAUGUGCAAUCUACGUCAUCCCUCGAGCUAUUUUACGUUCACGUGAACAUUCUAAGUGCUGUUGCGCAUGUGCAGAACCGAUCACGUGUCCAGUGCGGAUCGCGUGGUUGACAGGCUCGGUGUGGUCGCUGAUAAAAACGGAGGUGUGCUACCAGACGUCCACAAGAGGGCAGCACCACUCUGAAGUGCCGGUCUCUCCGUCCGGAGAGGUGGGAUGUCUUUUCACUUGCUGGACGCCAGAGGAGGACAGAGAGCAGCGAAGAAGAGGAGCGUCAUCACAACUUGAGGUGGCUUCGUGUCCGAGUGGGAUCACCAGACCACACGGCUCAGCUUUGUCGUUGUUGUCUUUUCCAGAAGUUACUUUCUUCCGGUGUUGAUUGGUUCAGAAGGUCUUUUCUUUUUUAUGUGUAGAAAUAGGAAUAGUGACGUAUCCUGGGUUUCUUCUGGAGUAUCGUUCCUUAGCUCCUCUCCGGGACGGGCCAUGCGCCAAAAGCUUUGAUGAACCCCCUGCGGGUGUAGAUUUCAUCCAUCGGAGCCCACGACAGAAAUAAACCGGUCAGAUCUUUGUUGUGCUGGCUGAGUGACAGCAUCCCUCUCUCCAUUCCUGGCGCUCCCGCUCCACCCGUCCUCCCAAAUUGCCUUGAUCCGCCGCUCGCCCCCGGUGUGGUUUUCAUCCUAUAGGGGGGGGGGGGGGGGGGUGAGAAGGAGCAAACCGGCGGGAAAAAUGUGUGAGCGGAUUCUUCGCAUUCUCCGGCUCGGUGUUGGUUUUCCCCGGAGAGAGGAAGGAGGAGCGUGGAGGGAACGGACUGGCGACUCAGCAGCUGACGCCUCUGAUGUUUGCAUCUUCUCGUAAACCAAAAUCGACAACUUUGGUUGUUUCCCAGGCCUGAGCACACAUCAGCUUCACGGGCUUUAGUGUAGGGUCGUAGUUCACCAAGCGGACUCAUCCAGCUCGCCGUGGUACGGUUUGGAAUCGUAAAUCCACCCAUGAAGCCAUACGGCGAACGACAAUUGGAGGACAUCUUGCUUUUUGGAAGUGACUAGAUCAGGGGUGCUCAUUAAGUCGAUCGCGAGCUACCGGUCGAUCGCGGAGGUGGUACUGGUCGAUCGCUGGUCGAUCGCGGCGUGACAUUAAAAAAAUAUCAUCCCAGCAUCAAUGCCGUCACUUGAUUGACAUACAGGGCAGCCAUUCAGAUGACAACUGAAUGUUGCCCUUCGGGCGACCAAUGAAAUCAAACAACGUCUCUAAGUGCAGCAGAACUUACGAUGUCAGCCUAUCAUCCAUCCCCGUUACUUGAUUGACAUACAGGACAACCAGUCAGAUGACAACUGAAUUUUGACCUUUAGGUCACCGCUCAUGCGUAAACAACGAUGCAAAGUGCUAAGCUAGUCGGCGAAUUGCGUUAGAUUUUAAGCCCUCGCUAAAGUUUAUGGUCACUAAAAUGAGUGAAGGAGCUGGACAAGUAAAAAGUAAAAAGGCAAAAACUGGACCAAGUAAAAAGACAAAAACAUAUCACUUCCAUACGGAUAUGGAAUAUUAUACGGAUAUUAUGAUACGGAUAUUAUCCAUGACUGAUAAACAUUUGGAAGUGUGCUUGAGGCUGGCUAUCAGCAGCUACUGUCCGGACUAUGCAUCCCUGGCUGGUUCAAUUCAGUCCAAGUCAUCAAAGUAAACUCAGGUAAUUACAAAAAAUGUUAAUAGUUAAUUAUGUGUGUUUUGCAAUAUUGGCUCAUUUGGUUAUGUAAGGUACAUCAACAUACAUUGUACGUACAAAUAAUCCUCAAUACAUUUGAAAAUAAAUAGAUGUUUUGCAUUUUUGUAGUGGGUAGAUCAUUUUGACUCAACGUCUCCCUCGCUGACCCCCUUAUUAAGUCUCCAAUUAAGUCCUCAUCGGACACCCGUCACUUACUCAUACUCAGUCCUCAUGGCCCGGGAUGAGAUUCAGACCGUAUUCAUAUUAAAAGUCAGGGACAGGAAAUGUUUGUGGCGUCAGGUGUCCGUCGGAGAAAUGAAUGACGCCAAUCAAGGUCCAGGGUCUAGUACAGUACAGUACAGUACAGUACAGCCUUUGGCUAGCAAGGGCGCCAAGGGCUUCUGUCAAAGUCUACCGUUUUUCCCGAAAUAUAAAAUGGACAAAGACAAGCGGAUAAGCGUCCCGAUUUUAUCGUACAGUCGAAAUCGUGAACGACGCCGCAAGCUGAGAUUAUUGAGUUAACGCCGCCCUUUAGCCAAUAAGGAACGUUCACAUAUUAAAAGGAAACUGUUUUUCCAUUAGACCAGGGGUGGGCAAACUACGGCCCGGGGGCCACAUCCGGCCCGCCAAGUGUUUGAAUACGGCCCGCCCAAUCUUUCCAAAGUAUUUCAUUUAAACUCAACAUACAACCUGGCAUCAUGGCCUGAGCCAACCUUUUGAUGGUUGUAUCAAUUUGGUUUUUUGACAUGGUCUGUUGUUUACAAAGUGCUCCUGAAAAAAGGGACACAAGC
Molecule: non-coding RNA, 3272 nt
Organism: Doryrhamphus excisus (bluestripe pipefish)
Lineage: Eukaryota; Metazoa; Chordata; Actinopteri; Syngnathiformes; Syngnathidae
Source: RefSeq, a predicted model, not a curated record